RNAcentral lists this long non-coding RNA (1734 nucleotides) under Zea mays. RNAcentral's name for it is "long non-coding RNA (ZMAY_LNC002505)". Lineage: Eukaryota; Viridiplantae; Streptophyta; Magnoliopsida; Poales; Poaceae. The record is from RNAcentral.
GAGAACACGGGUGUGCCAGAGGCGAUUGCGUGUUGCGAGAAGAAAAGCACGUCCAGUAGCUCGCGAAAAACAAGGGGAGAUUAGAGAGGGUAUGCAGAUGUAGGGAAGAGAGAGGCAACGUCCUUUUUCAUGGCCGCGUUCGUGAUCCGUUCGUGAUCCGCUAGAUGGAUCUACAGUGCUUCGCAACCCUCUAAAACGCGUAUCUGCGACGCUUUACGCGAGCAGGGCGAGCUGUUGGACUCAGCCUUAUCUAGUCAACGCAUCCACUCACUUCCUUUCGUCCUCCUGCUCUCUGUGUGUGCCACGCAAGCGCCCUAUCCACCAUUAGAGUCGCUCGUUCUACAACGACGUGCUAGCUAGCCGAUGGCUACGACCACGAAACCACUCAGAUCGUCCGCUGCUCUGCCGCACGGGUAAGCCCCCCCCCGUCUACUGGUAAAUCGCUCUGUUCUCCCAAUCAUCUGGUAUCCCUAGCUAGCCAUUAGUUGUCACAGUUGGUUCCCGCUAAGCCCAUCCGCCGGUUUAAGUCGGCUAAUCGUGUGUUUGCGUCGAUUAGCCACUCCUUGAAGCCAAUUAAUUACUCCCCCAGUAGCUGAUAAGCUGGCCGGUGUAGUAGUUAAGGUUUGGGGAUUUCCCCUUUUUCACUUCAAAUCUUAUAAAUUAUCACGGUUACUUACUGCUAUUUGCAAUAAUGACCAACAGUGCUUGCAAUAAUAGCUCAUAUUACUGAUAUUUUCAGGGAUGCUGGAUCGGAUCGAUCCAGUUUAGGAGCAUUGGAAUAACAUAUCUUGUAUUCAAGUGCAAGUAUUGUAAGGAACAAUGGAAGGAGGGCGGUGCUACUCGUUUUAGACAAUACCUUACAUCACGUGGACGAAAUGUGCAAGGUUGUCGCAACGUUCCGUCGGACGUUUGCAAUUACUUUCGACGGGAGCUUGACAAGGGACAAUAUAGAAGGGAAAGCAAGAAUACUGGAGGAGGUAUGAAAGUUAGCAUUGGCGGGUUCACCUCAAUGAUGACGAUGUUGAGUUGCAGGUCGCAUUACAUGCUUUAAGAGAUGAGGAGGAACUUAGGAGGCAUGCUUGCGCGAGUAGUGGCACGUAUGAGAGGGUGAUGGCUCCUCCCAUGGGGGUGUUCAUGGCAUGUUUGGAAGAACACCUUUUAGGAAGGAGAAACCACGCAUGGUCCGACCAAGGAUUGAUAAGGCCUCGUUUUCGAAGGCAGUAAGGAAUGACGUCCAUUUCAUUGGUAAGCCUAUUGGACCCCCGAGUCUGGUAGUGAUAGACAAGGUUCAUCUUCACCCCUUCUUCCCUAUAUCAAUUAUCCAAUUGGUGAAGUGACUCAGUAACCCAUGAGGUGGGUGUAUCAAUGGGAGGAGCCUGAGUACUAAAUAUUAAUGGACUCAUGGAGUACGACUUCUGCGUGGACCAGACAGACUUGGACGGAGUACAAAGGAAUGUUGAUGUGUGAGCAAGGUAUUAUAUUAUUCUCAUCGGAAGGGUAUAAUGUGACAUAUGAUCAAUGGAAUGCUUACCCGUGGGCAUGAUGUUCACCGGAGGGUGUAUUGUAUCUUUGAUGCUAUUCAUGAACUAUGAAAUUGUGGCAUUAAUGUAUUUGCACUUCUAAAUAUUGUGAUUGGACUUGUGAUAAGAUAUGGACCAUUUUUGUUGAAUUUUUGUAAUCAUAAUGGACUUUAUUUGACAAAAGGGGUCAAUUUCCCUUUGUCUACAACCAGUU